RNAcentral lists this long non-coding RNA (455 nucleotides) under Homo sapiens (human). RNAcentral describes it as "HSALNT0109021". Lineage: Eukaryota; Metazoa; Chordata; Mammalia; Primates; Hominidae. The record is from RNAcentral.
CUAAAGACUCAGGGGAUUUCUUAUUUUGUUAUUAGAAGGGAGCAAAGCUAUUGUUUUAAGUAUGACAAAAGCCCACAUCUGCUCUUGUGCAAGUUACUCCUGGCUGCAUCAGGCUUUCUAAGCAUUGACUGUGGAUGUGCGUGCAGCCGCACCCUCUCCUGGAAUUCCUAUUGGUCUCCUCCUUGUCCUAAGCUGCUGCUCAGAAGCUCACCGUAAAGGAAACUAUGUUGCUGCCAUUUGACGUCAAAGCGCAUCGAUAACUGAUUCAGUAAUUGGCAACUACUCCUCUAUCAAUGUGUAUGCACAUGGAGACUUGGACUGUCAGAUAAGGGCAGAACGCCAACAACCAAGGCAAGAAGAAUGUGAAAAAGGAUUCAGUAUGUUCAAGAACCCCAAGCCUGAAUCGGAGAUGAGAAAGUGACCACAUCAAAAUGGAGAGAAAAGUAAAAGGUGAG